This 776-nucleotide ribosomal RNA is filed under the name uncultured Neocallimastigales. Its description in RNAcentral is "partial large subunit ribosomal RNA". It matches the Rfam family "Eukaryotic large subunit ribosomal RNA", at positions 23 to 616 of the family's 3401-position model. Lineage: Eukaryota; Fungi; Neocallimastigomycota; Neocallimastigomycetes; Neocallimastigales. The record is from RNAcentral.
AGAGAGAGACAUGCGCGCAUAUCAAUAAGCGGAGGAAAAGAAACUAACAAGGAUUCCCCUAGUAACGGCGAGUGAAGCGGGAAGAGCUCAAAUUUGAAAUCUUAAAGGGUUUCCCUUUACGAAUUGUAGUUUAAAGAAGUGUUUUCUGUUGAGGUUUUGGUAAAAGUUCUUUGGAAUAGGACAUCAUAGAGGGUGAGAAUCCCGUAUUUGACCUUUACUUUCAACUUUGUGAUACACUUUCAAAGAGUCGGAUUGUUUGGGAAUGCAGUCCAAAAUGGGUGGUAAAUUUCAUCUAAAGCUAAAUAUUGGCGAGAGACCGAUAGCGAACAAGUACCGUGAGGGAAAGAUGAAAAGAACUUUGAAAAGAGAGUUAAACAGUACGUGAAAUUGUCAAAAGGGAAGCGUUUGACACCAGUGUUGUUUUUCUGAAAAUCAAUUAAAGAACUGUUUAUACUAAGCUGUUUAGACUUUAUCAGCUAUACUGUUUAGUUCUGAGCUUUUCUUUAAUGCACUUUUCAGUUAACAAGUCAACAUCAAUUUCUUUUGCUGUAAAAAAGCUUGAGGAAGGUGGCUUGAGAUUCGUCUUAAGUGUUUAUAGCCUCUUGCCUAUGCAGUCGGAGAGAUUGAGGUCUGCAGCGUAGAUCCUUCGGGGCUAAAUGCAUUUGUGCCUAAGUUAUAGCAUUUUAUAGACAACUUGUUGACUAUGAUUUGUCUUGUAGCUUACUCGCUUAUGUUAUUUUACCUACGCUUAGGAUGUUGAGCGCAUGUCUCUCUCU